GAUGAACGCUGGCGGCGUGCCUAAUACAUGCAAGUCGAGCGAACGGACGAGAAGCUUGCUUCUCUGAUGUUAGCGGCGGACGGGUGAGUAACACGUGGAUAACCUACCUAUAAGACUGGGAUAACUUCGGGAAACCGGAGCUAAUACCGGAUGAUAUUUUGAACCGCAUGGUUCAGAAGUGAAAGACGGUCUUGCUGUCACUUAUAGAUGGAUCCGCGCUGCAUUAGCUAGUUGGUAAGGUAACGGCUUACCGAGGCAACGAUGCAUAGCCGACCUGAGAGGGUGAUCGGCCACACUGGAACUGAGACACGGUCCAGACUCCUACGGGAGGCAGCAGUAGGGAAUCUUCCGCAAUGGGCGAAAGCCUGACGGAGCAACGCCGCGUGAGUGAUGAAGGUCUUCGGAUCGUAAAACUCUGUUAUUAGGGAAGAACAUAUGUGUAAGUAACUGUGCACAUCUUGACGGUACCUAAUCAGAAAGCCACGGCUAACUACGUG
Molecule: ribosomal RNA, 497 nt
Filed under: uncultured bacterium
Lineage: Bacteria
Description: partial 16S ribosomal RNA
Rfam family: Bacterial small subunit ribosomal RNA
Source: RNAcentral